RNAcentral lists this unclassified non-coding RNA (711 nucleotides) under Hevea brasiliensis (rubber tree). Lineage: Eukaryota; Viridiplantae; Streptophyta; Magnoliopsida; Malpighiales; Euphorbiaceae. The record is from RNAcentral.
UCUUCGGUGGGCCCUUGGGUCUGUUGAAAUUUUCUUGAGCAGACAUUGUCCUAUUUGGUAUGGCUAUGGGGGUGGAUUGAAUUGGUUGGAACGAUUUUCCUACAUAAAUUCAGUUGUAUAUCCUUGGACAUCCAUUCCCCUGCUUGUUUACUGUACCCUACCAGCUAUCUGCCUUCUCACUGGGAAAUUUAUUGUGCCUGAGGUAAUACACGUCUCUUAGAUUGUUAUUCAUUUUAAAAAAUUUGUAGAUACUGAUUUUUGGAAUGAUCUUUUUUCUUCAUGGAUUUCUGAAAGGGAAAGUGAUAUGAACUAUUUUCCCACUUGAUUUUGUGCUUUUAAGCAUUGCAAACUAAACCGUGCAUAUCUGUAUGGGUGCUAUUAUGUGGAUUGAUUAAUGUGUUUCGUGGACUUGUUACAUUAAUUUAGGUUAAUUGUAGCCUAUUGUUCAUCAACAUACAAAUCUUUUUUGGAAGAUUCAAAAAGCAUGUAUUAUUAUGAGCAAACAAUUUAUUUUUAUGAAGGUUAUUUUGAUAAACUGCUGAUUAGGUCCCUUCAUAUGUGGUUGUUCUAAGAGCCUGAAAGGCCGACUCUUUCAUUCGUACUACUUGGCUAUCUAGCCUUUUUGCUUAACUUACUCAGGGUUUUUGUGUUAAUACAGAUUAGCAACUAUGCCAGUAUUGUAUUCAUGGCACUCUUCAUAUCUAUAGCUGC